GAUGAACGCUGGCGGCGUGCCUAAUACAUGCAAGUCGAGCGAACGGACGAGAAGCUUGCUUCUCUGAUGUUAGCGGCGGACGGGUGAGUAACACGUGGAUAACCUACCUAUAAGACUGGGAUAACUUCGGGAAACCGGAGCUACUACCGGAUAAUAUUUUGAACCGCAUGGUUCAAAAGUGAAAGACGGUCUUGCUGUCACUUAUAGAUGGAUCCGCGCUGCAUUAGCUAGUUGGUAAGGUAACGGCUUACCAAGGCAACGAUGCAUAGCCGACCUGAGAGGGUGAUCGGCCACACUGGAACUGAGACACGGUCCAGACUCCUACGGGAGGCAGCAGUAGGGAAUCUUCCGCAAUGGGCGAAAGCCUGACGGAGCAACGCCGCGUGAGUGAUGAAGGUCUUCGGAUCGUAAAACUCUGUUAUUAGGGAAGAACAUAUGUGUAAGUAACUGUGCACAUCUUGACGGUACCUAAUCAGAAAGCCACGGCUAACUACGUGCCAGCAGCCGCGGUAAUACGUAGGUGGCAAGCGUUAUCCGGAAUUAUUGGGCGUAAAGCGCGCGUAGGCGGUUUUUUAAGUCUGAUGUGAAAGCCCACGGCUCAACCGUGGAGGGUCAUUGGAAACUGGAAAACUUGAGUGCAGAAGAGGAAAGUGGAAUUCCAUGUGUAGCGGUGAAAUGCGCAGAGAUAUGGAGGAACACCAGUGGCGAAGGCGACUUUCUGGUCUGUAACUGACGCUGAUGUGCGAAAGCGUGGGGAUCAAACAGGAUUAGAUACCCUGGUAGUCCACGCCGUAAACGAUGAGUGCUAAGUGUUAGGGGGUUUCCGCCCCUUAGUGCUGCAGCUAACGCAUUAAGCACUCCGCCUGGGGAGUACGACCGCAAGGUUGAAACUCAAAGGAAUUGACGGGGACCCGCACAUGCGGUGGAGCAUGUGGUUUAAUUCGAAGCAACGCGAAGAACCUUACCAAAUCUUGACAUCCUUUGACAACUCUAGAGAUAGAGCCUUCCCCUUCGGGGGACAAAGUGACAGGUGGUGCAUGGUUGUCGUCAGCUCGUGUCGUGAGAUGUUGGGUUAAGUCCCGCAACGAGCGCAACCCUUAAGCUUAGUUGCCAUCAUUAAGUUGGGCACUCUAAGUUGACUGCCGGUGACAAACCGGAGGAAGGUGGGGAUGACGUCAAAUCAUCAUGCCCCUUAUGAUUUGGGCUACACACGUGCUACAAUGGACAAUACAAAGGGCAGCGAAACCGCGAGGUCAAGCAAAUCCCAUAAAGUUGUUCUCAGUUCGGAUUGUAGUCUGCAACUCGACUACAUGAAGCUGGAAUCGCUAGUAAUCGUAGAUCAGCAUGCUACGGUGAAUACGUUCCCGGGUCU
This 1372-nucleotide ribosomal RNA is filed under the name uncultured bacterium. RNAcentral's name for it is "bacterial SSU rRNA". It matches the Rfam family "Bacterial small subunit ribosomal RNA", at positions 28 to 1381 of the family's 1533-position model. The record is from RNAcentral.